UAUUUUCUAGGCACAUUCUCUCCUAGGCUUCACUUUUUGUUUUAUUUACUUUGUACAUUUGGGUGGGUGGUGGUGGGUGAGGGUGUACCACAGUCAGUGUGGGGAAGUCAGAGGACAACUCAGGGCAGUCAGUUUUCUCCUUCUACCAAGCGUGUCCUGGGAACCAAACUCGGGUGCUCAGGCUUAGGGGCAGGCUUUUUUUUACCCACUAACUAACUCUCAUAUACGUUAAAACAUCCAUAGUUUAUGGGGCUAGAGAUAUAACUUGCUGAAGAAUAACACCAUUUGCUGAAGAAGCCUGAGGAACUGGUUUCAACCCCCCUGUACCCAUGUAAAAAGUGGGGAGGCCACACAUGCCUGUGGUGUAGGGGGUUCUUCUAUCUAUGUGUUGCUUUCAUUGGUUGAAUAAAGAAACUGCCUUGGCCUUUUGAUAGGGCACCACUUAGGUAGGCGGAGUAGACAGAACUGAAUGCUGGGAAGAAGGGCAGAGGGAGAACCGCCAUGGAGCUGCCAGGUCAAACAUGCUGAAUCUUCUCCGGGCUCGUGCCAAUGGGCACCUGCUGGCUUCGCUGGAGCACAGAGCACGGCAGCACUCAUUCGUGGACGGAUGCGACAGAGGGAGUGUGCAGGCCUGCAGCGUAUCUACCAAUGGGACAAUGCGUUCAGACAGAUGACUCUCAGAGGACAGUCCGUGUCACAUGGAGAAAGAGGAUAUUCAGAUGAAGAAGGGCAAGCAUCAGCUAAUAUCUGUUGCAUGCUUGCAAGAAGCCAUCCAGGAUCCAGAGGUGUCCAGCUCUUUGAGGCUAAUCCUGUUUUGCCAAUCUCAUCACUUGAUUGCUUGAUAGCUGACUGUGGAAAAUGUUGAAUUAUGGGGCUGAAGGAGUUGAGGACUUGCCUGACAUGAUGAAGCUCUGGGCUCAAUCACUUUACCCACGAGUGCCGUCUUGGAUUCUCAGUGCUUCCAGGGCUGCCUGUGUGUUUCUGAGAGGCACUGGCCGGCCAGCAGUGAGCCUCCUCACCCUGCUGAAGAUACACAUUCUUAGAAAGCUGUCUGCAACUGAAGCGAAGAGCAGAAGCUUUGUCGAUUCACGGGCCAGCAGCAACAAUACCUGUAGUGCAAAGCUUCCGCCCGUUCCACACGAAGCCGGCAAGCUUCCGAUCCUGUUCAAAGACAGCUUUCCC
Alexandromys fortis (reed vole) is the source of this 1182-nucleotide long non-coding RNA. RefSeq lists it as uncharacterized. The record is from RefSeq and is a predicted model, not a curated record. NCBI's taxonomy places the organism in Eukaryota, Metazoa, Chordata, Mammalia, Rodentia, Cricetidae. The transcript is spliced from 5 exons.